Molecule: ribosomal RNA, 337 nt
Filed under: uncultured bacterium
Lineage: Bacteria
Description: bacterial SSU rRNA
Rfam family: Bacterial small subunit ribosomal RNA
Source: RNAcentral
AGAGUUUGAUCCUGGCUCAGAUUGAACGCUGGCGGCAUGCCUUACACAUGCAAGUCGAACGGGCUUUGGGGCUUGCCUCAAAGUUAGUGGCGAACGGGUGAGUAAUAUAUCGGAACGUACCCUUGAGUGGGGGAUAACCAGUCGAAAGAUUGGCUAAUACCGCAUACGAUCUAAGGAUGAAAGUGGGGGACCUUCGGGCCUCAUGCUCCUGGAGCGGCCGAUAUCUGAUUAGCUAGUUGGUAGGGUAAAAGCCUACCAAGGCUUCGAUCAGUAGCUGGUCUGAGAGGACGAUCAGCCACACUGGGACUGAGACACGGCCCAGACUCCUACGGGAGGC